RNAcentral lists this long non-coding RNA (1283 nucleotides) under Helianthus annuus (common sunflower). Lineage: Eukaryota; Viridiplantae; Streptophyta; Magnoliopsida; Asterales; Asteraceae. The record is from RNAcentral.
CUGAAUCAAUCAAUCUCUAUUGAAUUGGAGUUACCUUUUUUAUUCUUCCAUUUGAUUGAGGGUUGUUACAAUAAAAAACCCUAAAUUCAGUGUUUCCUUUCAUCCUUUGCCUCCCAAUUGAAAGAACCCUAGAUCUCAUCUCUGUACCUGGUUAUGAUCAAUUAUGAUCAAUCUUCAAAGUCUACCCAUCGGUACUUAUGUCAUCUUCCUCAAGAUCUACAUAUAUAAUGAGAACGGUUUGCGUGUUUGAAAGUCCCAAAGGAACAAAAAUUUUCAAAAGUUGCUAGGGAUUUGAUUUUUCAUUUUCCAUGUGAUGUGGAAUCAAGGUUAGGUACCGGUGGAAUUGAGGAAACAAAGGUAAAUCAAUUUGAGUUCGGACAAUCUUAACACAGGCCAAACUGUAGACAAGUUGUUAGUAAAUGGAUUUUCUGAUUCGUGAGGUUCGAAAGGCUAAAUUAUUUCCAAAGCAACAUCACCAGCCUUAUGUGAAGGGGUCAACUUAAGUCAAACUUCAUUUGCAGUUGUAGUGUUUUUGAAGCGGAAGUUUCAAAGAUGGAAAACAAGAAUUGAACCAUUUAUGAACCUUCAUUAUAUCGAGUUUCCUCAAGAAUUUGAAGACAGAUGCGCGUCUUGAUUAAUAUGAUGCAAGAAUCCAUUCACAUUUUCUUUAUAACAUCAAUUAAUGUGCCGCCCUGAUGGAAGAGAUAGAAGCAUUGGUUAACCGACACCCAGAUAAACUCCACAUGGAGACAUUUCGAAGGUCAAAUAAGGUAUACAAUGCUGAACUGAAUGUCGUUACAUAUUGCCAGAACAGAACAGCUAUUGAAGACAAAUCGAAGUUUCGAAUACUUCUUCUGCACAAAAUUUUCGCUCAGCCUCUCUAAAAGGAAUUGAACCAUUUAUGAACCUUCACUAUAUCAAGUUUCCUCAAGAAUUUGAAGACAGAUGCGCUUCUUGAUUAAUAUGAUGCAAGAAUCCAUUCACAUUUUUUUUAUAACAUCAAUUAAUGGUGAUAUCAUUCGACUUUGACGGACGAAAUUACAAGAAUACAUAAUAUAACUUAGGAUCUUGACCUGUAACAAAAUUGUACAUACCCCAUAUGGAACACUUGAAAAUAGUAAAAUUUGAUUGAUUGGCUUUGAGACACAAUGCAUGGGAGCUUUCGAACAAAUAAAGGCUAAACAAAAGGUGCUUAGAGGAAAGUAUUCAACGAGUGGAAAGAAGUCAGGAGCUAACUUUCCUAUGGUUAAAACAUAAAGCAAAAAUUGAGAAUUUAGACAUGG